UAUUUACUCCCUCAGUCUAAAAAUACUUGUCAAAGAAGUGUCUAAAAAUGAAUGUAUCUAGAACUAAAAUACAUCUAGAUACAUCCAUUCCUCCGACGAGUAUUUCCGGACGGAGGGAGUAUUAU
Molecule: non-coding RNA, 125 nt
Organism: Triticum aestivum (bread wheat)
Lineage: Eukaryota; Viridiplantae; Streptophyta; Magnoliopsida; Poales; Poaceae
Source: Rfam